Molecule: ribosomal RNA, 301 nt
Filed under: uncultured bacterium
Lineage: Bacteria
Description: partial 16S ribosomal RNA
Rfam family: Bacterial small subunit ribosomal RNA
Source: RNAcentral
CAGUCGCCACGGUAAUACGAACCGUGCGAACGUUAUUCGGAAUUACUGGGCUUAAAGCGCGUGUAGGCGGGCCGCCACGUCGGUUGCUGAAAUCCCCCGGCUCAACCGGGGAAGUGGCAUCGAUACGAGCGGCCUUGAGGGGGGUAGGGGGAUCUGGAACUUCCGGUGGAGCGGUGAAAUGCGUUGAGAUCGGAAGGAACGCCCGUGGCGAGAGCGAGGUCCUGGACCCUUUCUGACGCUGAGACGCGAAAGCCAGGGGAGCGAACGGGAUUAGAUACCCCCGUAGUCCCUGUCUCUUAUA